GAUGAACGCUGGCGGCGUGCCUAAUACAUGCAAGUCGAGCGAACAGAUAAGGAGCUUGCUCCUUUGACGUUAGCGGCGGACGGGUGAGUAACACGUGGAUAACCUAUCUAUAAGACUGGGAUAACUCCGGGAAACCGGGGCUAAUGCCGGAUAACAUGUUGAACCGCAUGGUUCUAUAGUGAAAGGCGGCUUUGCUGUCACUUAUAGAUGGAUCCGCGCCGUAUUAGCUAGUUGGUGAGGUAACGGCUUACCAAGGCAACGAUACGUAGCCGACCUGAGAGGGUGAUCGGCCACACUGGAACUGAGACACGGUCCAGACUCCUACGGGAGGCAGCAGUAGGGAAUCUUCCGCAAUGGGCGAAAGCCUGACGGAGCAACGCCGCGUGAGUGAUGAAGGUCUUCGGAUCGUAAAACUCUGUUAUUAGGGAAGAACAAAUGCGUAAGUAACUGUGCGCGUCUUGACGGUACCUAAUCAGAAAGCCACGGCUAACUACGUG
This 497-nucleotide ribosomal RNA is filed under the name uncultured bacterium. RNAcentral's name for it is "partial 16S ribosomal RNA". It matches the Rfam family "Bacterial small subunit ribosomal RNA", at positions 28 to 507 of the family's 1533-position model. The record is from RNAcentral.